This 414-nucleotide ribosomal RNA is filed under the name uncultured bacterium. Its description in RNAcentral is "bacterial SSU rRNA". It matches the Rfam family "Bacterial small subunit ribosomal RNA", at positions 917 to 1333 of the family's 1533-position model. The record is from RNAcentral.
GGACCCGCACAAGCGGUGGAGCAUGUGGUUUAAUUCGAUGCAACGCGAAAAACCUUACCUACUCUUGACAUACUUGGAAGCUCUUGUAAUGAGAGUGUGCCUUUUGGAACCAAGAUACAGGUGCUGCAUGGCUGUCGUCAGCUCGUGUCGUGAGAUGUUCCGUUAAGUCGGAUAACGAGCGCAACCCUUACCCUUAUUUGCCAGCGAUUCGGUCGGGAACUAUAAGGGGACUGCCGGUGAUAAACCGGAGGAAGGUGAGGACGACGUCAAGUCAUCAUGGCCCUUACGAGUAGGGCUACACACGUGCUACAAUGGGGAAUACAGACGGACGCUAAGCCGCGAGGUGGUGCUAAUCCUAGAAAGAUGUCUCAGUUCGGAUUGUCGUCUGCAACUCGACGGCAUGAAGUCGGAAUC